AGGAAGUCACACUGGAAAGGGAUUCC
This 26-nucleotide non-coding RNA is filed under the name Rattus norvegicus (Norway rat). The record is from RNAcentral. Lineage: Eukaryota; Metazoa; Chordata; Mammalia; Rodentia; Muridae.